This is a long non-coding RNA of Chelonia mydas (Green sea turtle), 98 nucleotides long. RefSeq lists it as uncharacterized. The record is from RefSeq and is a predicted model, not a curated record. NCBI's taxonomy places the organism in Eukaryota, Metazoa, Chordata, Testudines, Cheloniidae. The transcript is spliced from 2 exons.
GUAGCCAGUCGUGGUGGCUGGUGCUUGGGGAAGGACAAACACCAGAGGAGGUUCCCGAUACAACCUUGAGAUCUCAUCUGUCUGUGUUAUCACCAGCC